GGAGCGGCCCUGCGCAACAUGCGGGUGUCAAUCUCGUCAGGUCCGGAAGGAAGCAGCGAUAAUCAUUUUGCAUGUGUGCCGCAGUUAGUCGUUCCCGG
RNAcentral lists this signal recognition particle RNA (98 nucleotides) under Nitrospiraceae bacterium. RNAcentral's name for it is "signal recognition particle sRNA small type". It matches the Rfam family "Bacterial small signal recognition particle RNA". Rfam says of the family: The signal recognition particle (SRP) is a universally conserved ribonucleoprotein involved in the co-translational targeting of proteins to membranes. Archaeal SRP consists of a 7S RNA and homologues of the eukaryotic SRP19 and SRP54 proteins. The record is from RNAcentral. Lineage: Bacteria; Pseudomonadati; Nitrospirota; Nitrospiria; Nitrospirales; Nitrospiraceae.